Molecule: long non-coding RNA, 951 nt
Organism: Hyaena hyaena (striped hyena)
Lineage: Eukaryota; Metazoa; Chordata; Mammalia; Carnivora; Hyaenidae
Exons: 4
Source: RefSeq, a predicted model, not a curated record
ACCUGCACGGGCCUUGGAUAGGCCUCCCCCCCUCCUGCUCGGACACGUGUCCCAACCAGCCCUCCCCAGGCCCAGUGAUUCCCUCACUCCGUCGUGGAGGCCUCAUGUCCUUCCCAGACAUCCUGGGAAGGUGGUGCCCAGCAUCCUGGUGAACAUGGGGGACACUGGAUGUGACCGGCAGGGACAUUCCCCUCAGGGGCAGCCACACGCCCAGAUGCUCUGACUCUUCACCACUGUGGACAGUUCCAAACCAGCCAUCCUUGUACAGAUGUGACAGUUAUUGAUUCAUUGCCUCUCAACUCCAAAUCUACCCUUCAUUACCUGCUCUGCAGUAGUAAGAUAGCUCUUUGAAGCAUUUCUCACUUGCACCGAGAACAAUAUUGAGUGAUGGCAGUAGGUGGCGCUGGAGGGAAGCGGCAGGAGGAAGAAACUCCCCUUCCCAGGCCCAGGGUGCUUCUGUUUGCUUCGGUUCCUCUGACUGCACCUGCUGCCAGAGAUGAAUGCGUGGGGACAUUCUCCGCCCUGCCCCAGGACUCUGCAAACCUCAGGCCUCACAUGCCCUGCUGGAGAGCAGACCAUUGACUCCCCUGUGCGCAGGCCUGCUCGCCUCAGCCCUCCGGCUCCCGGUGGCCCUCCAGACACGGGCACAUGAACCCCAGGCUUUCACCACUCUGCCUGCAAGUAGGUUCCUGACUCGGACCCUCCCGGAGCCCUCCCUGCCAGCCUCUCCCGCCAGCACCGCAGAGGGAUAUUUGAUGCUGACCUGGAGACCAUCAGCCAGACCUUACACAUUUUUCAACAAGGUGUGAAUCCCAGCUUGAAGGAGAGGACCCUCUUCCCAUGCGUUCCCUCCCUGGAUACUCUCCUGCCUUAGAAUGAUCUGUAGAGUUCUCUUAGCAUGUCUCCAAUGCUAGGGUAAUAAUUUUUAAAAUUAAAUUUUCCUUAUUCAAA